GAUGAACGCUGGCGGCGUGCUUAACACAUGCAAGUCGAACGGUGAAGGCGGAGCUUGCUCUGCUGGAUCAGUGGCGAACGGGUGAGUAACACGUGAGCAAUCUGCCCCUGACUCUGGGAUAAGCGCUGGAAACGGCGUCUAAUACUGGAUACGAGCUGCGAAGGCAUCUUCAGCAGCUGGAAAGAAUUUCGGUCAGGGAUGAGCUCGCGGCCUAUCAGCUUGUUGGUGAGGUAAUGGCUCACCAAGGCGUCGACGGGUAGCCGGCCUGAGAGGGUGACCGGCCACACUGGGACUGAGAAACGGCCCAGACUCCAACGGGAGGCAGCAGUGGGGAAUAUUACACAAUGGGCGAAAGCCUGAUGCAGCAACGCCGCGUGAGGGAAGACGGCCUUCGGGUUGUAAACCUCUUUUAGCAGGGAAGAAGCGAAAGUGACGGUACCUGCAGAAAAAGCGCCGGCUAACUACGUG
RNAcentral lists this ribosomal RNA (468 nucleotides) under uncultured bacterium. RNAcentral's name for it is "partial 16S ribosomal RNA". It matches the Rfam family "Bacterial small subunit ribosomal RNA", at positions 28 to 507 of the family's 1533-position model. The record is from RNAcentral.